Molecule: ribosomal RNA, 225 nt
Filed under: uncultured Pseudomonas sp.
Lineage: Bacteria; Pseudomonadati; Pseudomonadota; Gammaproteobacteria; Pseudomonadales; Pseudomonadaceae
Description: partial 16S ribosomal RNA
Rfam family: Bacterial small subunit ribosomal RNA
Source: RNAcentral
GACAACGGAGGAAGGUGGGGAGUGACGUCAAGUCAUCAUGGCCCUUACGGCCUGGGCUACACACGUGCUACAAUGGUCGGUACAAAGGGUUGCCAAGCCGCGAGGUGGAGCUAAUCCCAUAAAACCGAUCGUAGUCCGGAUCGCAGUCUGCAACUCGACUGCGUGAAGUCGGAAUCGCUAGUAAUCGUGAAUCAGAAUGUCACGGUGAAUACGUUCCCGGGCCUU